GGCCGUCUUUAGUCUCUGCAGGGCCUCUAAAAAUAAAGGUACGAGUUCUUGACCCAGCCAACCUCCAAGCUGCAAACGUCGAUCCCUUGUUUUCCAGAAUUCCAGUGUUUUUUUCAAGCCUUGUGAAUCUAGGAAUGUUCAGCGAAGAAUGUUCUUUCACACCAUAUAGACAUAUUCAAAGGUCAUUUGUCCUAAAAGCAUUUGAAUUUUAUGGAGGCAGAGAAUUAGAUUG
This 232-nucleotide long non-coding RNA is filed under the name Elaeis guineensis (African oil palm). Its description in RNAcentral is "long non-coding RNA (EGUI_LNC039493)". Lineage: Eukaryota; Viridiplantae; Streptophyta; Magnoliopsida; Arecales; Arecaceae. The record is from RNAcentral.